RNAcentral lists this long non-coding RNA (998 nucleotides) under Mus musculus (house mouse). RNAcentral's name for it is "long non-coding RNA chr12:104247895-104248893". The record is from RNAcentral. Lineage: Eukaryota; Metazoa; Chordata; Mammalia; Rodentia; Muridae.
AACAGACCAGGAAGGCAGCAGCCCUGCCCACCAGGAGCCAGCUAUCACAGACACUGGCAGCUGGCUCAGCUCUGCAGGUAAGGCCCUGAUACCUUCUCUCUGGGGACAGAAGGAGGCUUCACAGGCUGUGUGGUACUGUCUGUGACCUAAGAUUUUGGCUUGGGGAGUGUGAGGAUUUCUAUCUGGGGCCCUGAUUUGGAUCCUGUGGACAUUUCUGCACUGCAUAACACUCUCUUCUCUUGUCUGGGUCUUCAUGGCUAUGGAAGCUGCAGAAGUCAUGAGCUACGCUCCUGGAAAGCAAAUGGAACCUGCUCCUUCUGACCCUCCACAGGUCCAUCCUGAGACCUUGUUAAUGCAGGUGUUGAUGUAGGAGCCAGGAAGGGACGGGGCUGUUACAGAGAUCCUCUGCAGAGUCAGCACGGCUGCCAUGCUCCCAUCAGACUGCAGAGCCAUUAGUUUCAGGGACCCCACUUCCCUUGUAAAUUCCAUGGAUUGGAAAGCAGGGCCACACUGUCUCCUACGCAGGAGGAUGAGACACCUGCUCAGACACUGACUCAUUUCACUGCUCCACCAACAGACUAGCCUAUGUUCUGGGGAAAUAAUCUUAAAAUAAAGUAUUAUCUGGGGCUUUUCCUAAGAAAUGGUUGCCUCAGUUUGACAAAUGGUGAAGCUGGAUGAAGACCCUGUACAUCUGCAGACAUGUCAGUGCCCUGGGGACAUGAGGCAAAGCUUCAACACCUCCCUCCCCUGCUCUCUAUGGAGAGCCAGGAGCAAUCGCCAUUACAAGAUGGCGCUGGCUUCCGUAGUGCCUAACUGCUAAACAAGUAAUGUGUGCAGGUGCAAGAGUAAAUUCGUGCAAGCCGGGGCAUAGCAAUGGGGUGAUGGGCAAGCAACCAAUCAGAUGCUGACACGCCACACGGAGGGGUAUAUAAGCAGCACCAUUUUCCGGGUUCGGGGUCUUCCUGAGAUUAAGCAAUAAAAAGCUUUGCUGUAGAAGG